RNAcentral lists this ribosomal RNA (277 nucleotides) under uncultured bacterium. RNAcentral's name for it is "partial 16S ribosomal RNA". It matches the Rfam family "Bacterial small subunit ribosomal RNA", at positions 28 to 298 of the family's 1533-position model. The record is from RNAcentral.
GACGAACGCUGGCGGCGUGCCUAACACAUGCAAGUGGAGCGACGAACCGGGUUUCGGCCCGGGGCAAAGCCGCGAACGGGUGAGUAACACGUGGGUUACCUGCCCCGAUGAUUGGGACAACCCGAGGAAACUCGGGCUAAUACCGAAUGUGCCCUCCGGUCAUAAGGCCGCUGGGGAAAGGAAGCUUCGGCCUCCGCAUCGGGAUGGGCCCGCGGCCCAUUAGCUUGUUGGUGAGGUAAUGGCUUACCAAGGCGACGAUGGGUAGCUGGUCUGAGAG